This 3117-nucleotide ribosomal RNA is filed under the name Capsicum annuum var. glabriusculum (American bird pepper). RNAcentral describes it as "bacterial LSU rRNA". The stretch from base 1384 to 3117 matches the Rfam family "Bacterial large subunit ribosomal RNA". Lineage: Eukaryota; Viridiplantae; Streptophyta; Magnoliopsida; Solanales; Solanaceae. The record is from RNAcentral.
AUUCAUAUUAAAAAAAACAAGAUUGUUUAGAUACGCUGGGACCAAUCUCAUCCAUUUUAUUUUGAAAACGUGGACAUGUAUCAUAAUACGGAUAUCUAUUUAUUGGAAUAGAGUAUAACAUGUGAUUUCUACCGAACAUAAAGGAAAAAACUCUUAUGCCUGCAGAAACAUGAUAUAUAGAUAUAUCCAUUCUAGUAAUUUUCAAAUAGAUCAGGAUCACUGGAUGACUGAAAUGUAGUCGGUUAAUCUCUAUGUAUAUCAAUAUGUAUAGUGGGAUCGUAUUAAAUAAAGAGCAUGUUAUUAUUUUAGAUUUAACCAAUUUGAUGAAUUACUCCUAAAGGUUGACAUCAAACUACUGCUAGUUCACCUCAAACUAGUGCUAGUUGAUGAGAGUUACUUCGGAAACAAAAAAGUAGUCAAAUUUCUAAGGGAUUAUUAUCUCAAUUCCAAUAAAAUGCAAUUGGGUAAAGUAUGACUUGGCGAUCAAAACAUAUAUGGAUAGAACUUAUAACGGUGUCUCGAAAAAUAAGUAAUUUCUGCUGAGCCUUUAUCCUUUUUUUAGGUUCAUUAGGCUUCUUAUUAGUUGGAACUUCCAGUUAUCUUGGUAGAAAUUUGAUAUCUUUUUUUCCGCCUCAGCAAAUCAUUUUUUUUUCCAUAAGGAAUCGUGAUUUCUUUCUACGGAACUGCGGGUCUCUUUAUUAGCUCUUAUUUGUGGUGCACAAUUUCCUGGAAUGUAGGUAUGGUUAUGAUCGAUUCGAUAUAAAGGAAGGAAUAGUCUGUAUUUUUCAUUGGGGAUUUCCGAAAAAAAAUCAUCGCAUAUUCCUCCGAUUCCUUAUAAAGAUAUUCAGUCCGUUAGAAUAGAAGUUAAAGAGGGUAUUUAUGCUCGUCAUGUUCUUUAUAUGGACAUACGAGGCCAGGGGUCCAUUCCCUUAACCCGUACUGAUGAGAAUUUAACUCCACGAGAAAUUGAACAAAAGGCUGCUGAAUUAGCCUAUUUCUUGUGUGUACCAAUUGAAGUAUUUUGAGAAAUUGAGAAUAAGAACGUUCAUUCAAUUAAAGAAAACGUAUAUGAAAGAACCAUAAAACAGAACUCUUUUUAUGGUCUUUAUGCGUAUGUAAACCUACGCAAUUCAAUAACAAAUAACAAAUCAAAAUAAUAGAUUCAUCUCAGAUGGUAAACCAUUUUGAAAUCAAGAAAUUUUUUUUAGUUCAAUAUUUGUUGGAAUUGACACUUUAGAUCCAGAUAGAUCAUUUCUUGUAAAUUGAAAAUUCUUUCUUUUGUAUUCUUUAAUGACCAACAAUUGGAUGUCUUAAUUAAAUAAUGAGAACUAGCCAAUUUAUCUUUUGCCAGUCAUUUUUUUUUUUAUCAUCGUAAUAUCUUUUCCUCAAUUAUUCUAUUCCUGACUAUGGGUAAUUAGUGAAAUUUUUUCGAAAUAUUGGAUAUUUUGAUAGCAAGGGAGUUCUUUCUUCUCAAAAUCUGAUAAAUAUUCAUUACUUAAAGUGGUUCUUACAACUAUAAAUGAAGACGAUAAUGAGAUAAAUUUAUAGUAUUCAUCUUUAAGUAAUGAAUACUAGGUAUGGCCUUAAAAUUAAAAAAGAGGGGUCAAAGUCGGCUAGUGAGAUGAUGGGGGAUAAGCUUCAUCGUCGAGAGGGAAACAACCCGAAUCACCAGCUAAGGCCCUUAAAUGGCCGCUCAGUGAUAAAGGAGGUAGGGGUAUGGAGACAGCCAGGAGGUUUACCUAGAGCCAGCCACCCUUAAAAGAGUGCGUAAUAGCUCACUGAUUGAGCGCUCUUGCGCUGAAGAUGAACGGGGCUAAGUGAUUUGCCAAAGUUGUGGGGUGUAAAAAUACAUCGGUAAGGGAGCGUUCAGCCUUAGAGGGAAUCCUCCGCGUGAGCGGUGGUGGACGAAGCGGAAGCGAGAAUGUCGGAUUGAGUAACGUAAACAUUGGUGAGAAUCUAAUGCCCCGAAAACCUAAGGGUUCCUCAGCAAAGUUCGUCCAUGGAGGGUGAAUACUAGGUUUACCUACAACUAUGAACCCUUUAAGUUGCCUGACGUAAGAACCACAGACCACAACACAUACAAGAACCUUUCAUACCUACUUCAUUUAGUUAGGAAUUUUUGUAGUUUCCCUAUUUAAUAGUUCAAUUACAACUAUGAAUACUAGGUUUGCCUGUUAUUGCCUCUUCGUUUUAACUACUAUUCCCUGGGAUUGGCUUUGGGCCUUUCCUGCGCAGCUUAGGUGGAAGGCAUAGAAGCCCUCCUUCCGGGGGGCCUGGGCUAUCAGUGAGAUACCACUCUGGAAGGGCUAGAAUUCUAACCUUGUGUCAGGACGUACUGGCCAAAGGACAGUCUCAGGUAGAUAGUUUCUAUGGGGAAUAGGCCUCCCAAAAGGUAACGGAGGCGUGAAAAGGUUUCCUCGGGCCAGACGGAGAUUAGCCCUCAAGUGCAAAGGCAAAAGGGAGCUUAACUGCAAGACCCACCCAUCGAGCAGGGAUGAAAGUCGGCCUUAGUUAUCCGACAGUGCCGAGUGGAAGGGCCGUCGCUCAACGUAUAAAAGUUACUCUAGGGAUAACAGGCUGAUCUUCCCUAAGAGCUCACAUCGACGGGAAGGUUUGGAACCUCGAUGUCGGCUCUUUGCCACCUGGGGCUGUAGUAUGUUCCAAGGGUUGGGCUGUUCGCCCAUUAAAGCGGUACGUGAGCUGGGUUUAGAAUGUCGUGAGACAGUUUGGUCCAUAUCUGGUGUGGGCGUUAGAGCAUUGAGAGGACCUUUCCCUAGACGAGAGGACCGGGAAGGACGCACCUCUGGUGUACCAGUUAUCGUGCCCACGGUAAACGCUGGGUAGCCAAGUGCGGAGCGAAUAACUGCUAAAAGCAUCUAAGUACUAAGACCACCCCAAGAUGAGUGCUCUCCUAUUACGACUAGCCCAGAGCUUUCGGUAGCAUAACCGAGACAGUGACGGGUUCUCUGCCCCUGCGGGGAUGGAGCGACAAAAGUUUUUUUGAGAAUUCAAGAGAAGGUCACGGCGAGAUGAGCCGUUUAUCAUUACGAUAGGUAUCAAGUGGAAGUGCAGUGAUGUAUGCAGCUGAGGCAUCCUAACAGACCGGUAGACUUGAAC